Molecule: ribosomal RNA, 393 nt
Filed under: uncultured bacterium
Lineage: Bacteria
Description: bacterial SSU rRNA
Rfam family: Bacterial small subunit ribosomal RNA
Source: RNAcentral
CGGGUCUUGACAUCGGAUGCAUAACUAAGAGAUUAGUGAAGUCCUUCGGGACAUCCAGACAGGUGGUGCAUGGUUGUCGUCAGCUCGUGUCGUGAGAUGUUGGGUUAAGUCCCGCAACGAGCGCAACCCUUAUAAUUAGUUGCUACGCAAGAGCACUCUAAUUAGACUGCCGUUGGCAAAACGGAGGAAGGUGGGGAUGACGUCAAAUCAUCAUGCCCUUUAUGACCCGGGCUACACACGUACUACAAUGGUGUUUAACAAAGAGAAGCAAAGCCGCGAGGUAGAGCAAAUCUCGAAAAAACAUCUCAGUUCAGACUGCAGGCUGCAACUCGCCUGCACGAAGUCGGAAUUGCUAGUAAUCGUAGGUCAGCAUACUACGGUGAAUACGUUCCC